AUUGAACGCUGGCGGCAGGCCUAACACAUGCAAGUCGAGCGGAUGAAGGGAGCUUGCUCCUGGAUUCAGCGGCGGACGGGUGAGUAAUGCCUAGGAAUCUGCCUGGUAGUGGGGGAUAACGUCCGGAAACGGGCGCUAAUACCGCAUACGUCCUGAGGGAGAAAGUGGGGGAUCUUCGGACCUCACGCUAUCAGAUGAGCCUAGGUCGGAUUAGCUAGUUGGUGGGGUAAAGGCCUACCAAGGCGACGAUCCGUAACUGGUCUGAGAGGAUGAUCAGUCAACCGGGAACUGAGACACGGUCAGGACUCCUACGGGAGGCGCCAGUGGGGAACUUUGGAAAUGGGGGGAAGGCUUACCGAGGCCAGGCCGCGGGUGGGAGGAAGGUCUUCGGAUGGUAAAGUACUUUGAGUUGGGAGAAAGGGUAGUAAGGUAAAACCUUGAUGUUUUGACGUUACCAACAGAGAAAGCAACGGCUAACUACGUG
RNAcentral lists this ribosomal RNA (484 nucleotides) under uncultured bacterium. RNAcentral's name for it is "partial 16S ribosomal RNA". It matches the Rfam family "Bacterial small subunit ribosomal RNA", at positions 29 to 507 of the family's 1533-position model. The record is from RNAcentral.